CCUACGGGUGGCAGCAGUGGGGAAUAUUGGACAAUGGGCGAAAGCCUGAUCCAGCCAUGCCGCGUGUGUGAAGAAGGCCUUCGGGUUGUAAAGCACAUUCAGUGGGGAAGAAAGCCUUGGGGCUAAUACCCUCGAGGAAGGACAUCACCCACAGAAGAAGCACCGGCUAACUCCGUGCCAGCAGCCGCGGUAAUACGGAGGGUGCGAGCGUUAAUCGGAAUUACUGGGCGUAAAGCGCGCGUAGGCGGUCUGAUAAGCCGGUUGUGAAAGCCCCGGGCUCAACCUGGGAACGGCAUCCGGAACUGUCAGGCUAGAGUGCAGGAGAGGAAGGUAGAAUUCCCGGUGUAGCGGUGAAAUGCGUAGAGAUCGGGAGGAAUACCAGUGGCGAAGGCGGCCUUCUGGACUGACACUGACGCUGAGGUGCGAAAGCGUGGGUAGCAAACAGGAUUAGAUACCCCAGUAGUC
RNAcentral lists this ribosomal RNA (465 nucleotides) under Vreelandella stevensii. RNAcentral describes it as "partial 16S ribosomal RNA". It matches the Rfam family "Bacterial small subunit ribosomal RNA", at positions 338 to 795 of the family's 1533-position model. The record is from RNAcentral. Lineage: Bacteria; Pseudomonadati; Pseudomonadota; Gammaproteobacteria; Oceanospirillales; Halomonadaceae.